AUGAAAAUGGGCACCUUUGGCAAAUUCGGAAAUCAAGAACAUAGAUAUAGUAAACUCAGGUUUAAUUUCUUCAAAGUAGAUACUUCAUGCUUGAGAUCUUGUACCAUGCAGCGAGAGUGCACAUGUACUGUUUACAAUUUCAGGGAUGGUACCAACCCCAUUAGGCCUAAUGUGAUUCUGUCAAGGACAGAUGGCAACAACGCUGCUGUUGCUGCAGGGGCUGGCAUAUCUGGGAAAGAACCAGUAAUCCAAACUAAAACAGUUGACACGAGUCCUAAGCAUCCCUUUGUAGAAAAACAAUGCAGCCAUCCAUCCAAGCGCUUCAUACUGGUCUAA
RNAcentral lists this ribosomal RNA (336 nucleotides) under Triticum aestivum (bread wheat). RNAcentral's name for it is "partial small subunit ribosomal RNA". Lineage: Eukaryota; Viridiplantae; Streptophyta; Magnoliopsida; Poales; Poaceae. The record is from RNAcentral.